CUGGGUUUGGUGCACAGUUGGAAGAUUUGACCUCUCAGAGCUGCCCUGGAGUCUGGGUAAGCCUGCAGCCCAGGGACUGGCCAGAUGGUAAAACUGGUAGCAGGCUCCAUGUCUACCAAAGCAAGGACAGGUGCUUUGCCCUGAACGGGAUUCAUUCGCUCCAGGCCCAGCUUCUCGCUGGCAGGUCCAGGAAGCUCCCUUGACUUUCCCAAGCCUCCAACCGCUACUUAGAAGAAUUUGCAUCGGAUUUGUUUCCCCAUUUGGAUACUAUGGAAAAAAACAGGUCUUCACGCUGUUUGGUUCCGGAUCUGCUGGGCUGUGUCUCUCUCCAAGAGCGUGGGUGGAAUUGAAGGGGCCGGCUGGGCGCCCGCAUUGAUCUUUAAAAAAUCAUUUUGAAAUCGCUAUAAUGUGAAGAAAUAUGGCGCUUCGCCCUCGUAUUUCACACGUAA
This is a long non-coding RNA of Mesocricetus auratus (golden hamster), 449 nucleotides long. RefSeq lists it as uncharacterized. The record is from RefSeq and is a predicted model, not a curated record. NCBI's taxonomy places the organism in Eukaryota, Metazoa, Chordata, Mammalia, Rodentia, Cricetidae. The transcript has 2 exons.